This 931-nucleotide long non-coding RNA is filed under the name Naja naja (Indian cobra). RNAcentral's name for it is "lncRNA (ENSNNAG00000014896.1)". The record is from RNAcentral. Lineage: Eukaryota; Metazoa; Chordata; Lepidosauria; Squamata; Elapidae.
CGGGCUGUUCCAAGUGGGUUCCCAAAUAAAAGAGAAAAUAAUAUCCAAUAAAUGUAUUUAUUCUCCUACCUUCCAUUUAGAGCCUGCAAGGAUGACAAGAUGGCGCCCUCCUGCCUCCUAUUUUUCCCCAACGCCCAUCUUAUAAGCCAUGGUUGCGCAGUGAUUAGAAUGCAGUAUUGCAGACUAACUCUGCCCAUAGCCAGGAGUUCGAUCCUGACCAGCUCAAGGUUGACGCAGCCUUCCAUCCUUCCCAGGAGAUUCAUCUUCUUCCUCCUCUGUGUGUUUUUCUCCAUCUCGAAGCAAUUUGUCUUUCUCUUUCUUCAAACCCAGACAAGGUUUUCACAACAUGUCUCAUUUGUGGGUACCACUAAUUAUUUUGGGAGCCCUGUCCAUGCUCACAGACAAAAAGGAGUCUCAGCAACGUAGCUAUUAGGCUCAUCAUCAGCCACUGCCAAGGGGGGGCGGUCAGAGAGAGAAGGAGCCAGGGUGGAAGCAUUGGGAGUUGAGGUCUGGCCUUGUUUCCUCCCCCAUCCCCUGGCCAAAGUGGCACCAACGGAUCUCCCAGACAGUAAUGGAGCUCAUCCAGAUUCCUCUCUGCCUCUGUGGAUGGCAAAUGGGAAGCAGACAGAUUUAAGCCAAGCUGGGUCAGUUGCUAACUUCAGCGGCUGUUAUAAAGUUGAGAUGGUUUUCUGGCAAAUCUCCUCUUCCAAAACAGAAGUGGUUUCUCUCCCACCCUUGGUAAAACUUUCUGAGAUUUCCCAGAAAAUAGACCCCACCUUAGGCAUCUUCUCCUUCCCCUUCCCUUCCCUUCCCUUCCCUUCCCUUCCCUUCUUCUUCUUCUUCUUCUUCUUCUUCUUCUUCUUCUUCUUCUUCUUCUUCUUCUUCUUCUUCUUCUUCUUCUUCCUCCUCUUCUUUUUCUUCUUCUCCUUCU